Molecule: ribosomal RNA, 1447 nt
Filed under: Salmonella enterica
Lineage: Bacteria; Pseudomonadati; Pseudomonadota; Gammaproteobacteria; Enterobacterales; Enterobacteriaceae
Also listed under: 1 other name
Description: partial 23S ribosomal RNA
Rfam family: Bacterial large subunit ribosomal RNA
Source: RNAcentral
AGACCCGAAACCCGGUGAUCUAGCCAUGGGCAGGUUGAAGGUUGGGUAACACUAACUGGAGGACCGAACCGACUAAUGUUGAAAAAUUAGCGGAUGACCUGUGGCUGGGGGUGAAAGGCCAAUCAAACCGGGAGAUAGCUGGUUCUCCCCGAAAGCUAUUUAGGUAGCGCCUCGUGAAUUCAUCUCCGGGGGUAGAGCACUGUUUCGGCUAGGGGGCCAUCCCGGCUUACCAACCCGAUGCAAACUGCGAAUACCGGAGAAUGUUAUCACGGGAGACACACGGCGGGUGCUAACGUCCGUCGUGAAGAGGGAAACAACCCAGACCGCCAGCUAAGGUCCCAAAGUCAUGGUUAAGUGGGAAACGAUGUGGGAAGGCCCAGACAGCCAGGAUGUUGGCUUAGAAGCAGCCAUCAUUUAAAGAAAGCGUAAUAGCUCACUGGUCGAGUCGGCCUGCGCGGAAGAUGUAACGGGGCUAAACCAUGCACCGAAGCUGCGGCAGCGACACUGUGUGUUGUUGGGUAGGGGAGCGUUCUGUAAGCCUGUGAAGGUGGCCUGUGAGGGUUGCUGGAGGUAUCAGAAGUGCGAAUGCUGACAUAAGUAACGAUAAAGCGGGUGAAAAGCCCGCUCGCCGGAAGACCAAGGGUUCCUGUCCAACGUUAAUCGGGGCAGGGUGAGUCGACCCCUAAGGCGAGGCCGAAAGGCGUAGUCGAUGGGAAACAGGUUAAUAUUCCUGUACUUGGUGUUACUGCGAAGGGGGGACGGAGAAGGCUAUGUUGGCCGGGCGACGGUUGUCCCGGUUUAAGCGUGUAGGCUGGUUUUCCAGGCAAAUCCGGAAAAUCAAGGCUGAGGCGUGACGACGAGGCACUACGGUGCUGAAGCAACAAAUGCCCUGCUUCCAGGAAAAGCCUCUAAGCAUCAGGUAACAUCAAAUCGUACCCCAAACCGACACAGGUGGUCAGGUAGAGAAUACCAAGGCGCUUGAGAGAACUCGGGUGAAGGAACUAGGCAAAAUGGUGCCGUAACUUCGGGAGAAGGCACGCUGACACGUAGGUGAAGUGAUUUACUCAUGGAGCUGAAGUCAGUCGAAGAUACCAGCUGGCUGCAACUGUUUAUUAAAAACACAGCACUGUGCAAACACGAAAGUGGACGUAUACGGUGUGACGCCUGCCCGGUGCCGGAAGGUUAAUUGAUGGGGUCAGCGCAAGCGAAGCUCCUGAUCGAAGCCCCGGUAAACGGCGGCCGUAACUAUAACGGUCCUAAGGUAGCGAAAUUCCUUGUCGGGUAAGUUCCGACCUGCACGAAUGGCGUAAUGAUGGCCAGGCUGUCUCCACCCGAGACUCAGUGAAAUUGAACUCGCUGUGAAGAUGCAGUGUACCCGCGGCAAGACGGAAAGACCCCGUGAACCUUUACUAUAGCUUGACACUGAACAUUGAGCCUUGAUGUGUAG